CUAAAUUUUUAUUUUGAAUAGGUUUGUACAUAUGUUUAUGCAUAGGCGAAAAGGUGAUGUUCAAGUGGAAAUGAUGAAUAUAUAAAUAAAAGUGUAAAGUAUGUUUUGAAAAUGAGAAGAGGACUUUAAGGGUGCAGAACUGUGUAAAUGUUUCAUAGUAAAUUAUGAUUAUUAGCAACUAGAUUAAACAAGUUCAAGUGAUUUCAAUAUGUAUUAUCACACAAAAUUUGACCUCUAUUGGGUGGGCAUGAGAUGGGUUUGGCCGGAUUUGCAGUCAAAAUUUUGUUCGAAUCAAACCGAAUCUAGGUGAAAUGGCACAUAGCCGACCAUGGAUGUGAAUGGAUUGUACAAGUUACUAGUGAUACGGAGUUACAUGUGGGUUGGUUUGGAUAAUACUGGUUGGGCCAUUUUGUUGGAUCGAAUGACAUUUAUUCCCAAGAAAAAUAGAAAAUUAUACCCCAUACCCCUACGUUUAUCCCAAUACGUCCCUACAAAAAAAAAUUCGGACAAAUUUACCCCUGUAUAAAUAGUAAAAAUUCCAAAAUUUUUAACUUUUUCCCUCAUUCUUACCGUUCCGUUAGCAGUGGAGAGAAGACAAAUUUUUUCAGCCAAAACCGGAUAUCCCAGUCUCUGCAGUUCCAGUUCUAAUUUCAAGCAAAUAUGGUUCGAAGAAGAGGAGGUGCGAUCGACAGGAUGCGUCAAAGAGGAAGACAACGUCGAGAGGCUGAUGGCGAGGGACAGCAGGGAGCUGCAUGUUGAGUGCCAGAAAGUCGUUAUUUUGUGUAUUCUUGCGUAUUUGGGCCAUGAGCAAUAAAGUGUCGAAGACACGGCUUCAAACGCGCGAUUUUGAGCGGCGGAAUCAACUCAUUUGGCGGUUAAGGCUCAAAAUAAGGAUGAUAAAAAUCAUCAAUUUGGUCUCCAUUCAUUCAUUAUUAGAUAGAGCAUUGAAUAAGCUUUCUAACGCUUCGAACCAGGCGCAAAUCGGAGUUACGGUUCUCAAGUUAUGGCCGAAACAGUGCAAAAAUUUUCUGCUACUGGUGUCACUCGCCGGGCGAGCCCGACUGACCCAAAAAUGUGAUUUGCUACUGCCUGGAGUCGCCGGGCGAAUCAGUGUCGGCAGAAAACGCAAUAAAGCUGUUGGAAAUCAUUUUUUCAAGUAUGGUUGGAUAUUUUAGAGCUCCAAUCCAUCCAAUAGCAUUUUUUGAGUGGAAUGAUGCUAGAAAACACAUUGGAGCUGUCAAAUGGAUGAUCCGGGGUUGAAUCCUUCAUCAAUCGGAGCCGACAAACCGGGAGAUUUUUGGGUUUUUCUCCAUUUCUUCUCUUUGUAGUUUCUUUUGUGAGUUUUGUUAUGUAUAUACUUUAAUCUCAUGUAUAUUUGUUGACUAUUAUGUUAUAUAAA
Vicia villosa (hairy vetch) is the source of this 1399-nucleotide long non-coding RNA. RefSeq lists it as uncharacterized. NCBI's taxonomy places the organism in Eukaryota, Viridiplantae, Streptophyta, Magnoliopsida, Fabales, Fabaceae. The record is from RefSeq and is a predicted model, not a curated record. The transcript is spliced from 3 exons.